GCAGCUUCCCCAUCGCCCUGGGAGGGGCCCCUCGUCUAAGCUGCACGCAGAGUUAGGUUUCCUCUUUCCCGAUGGGAAUUCCAGGCUUGGGGGCUUUUCCGGCUCCUGUAAGGACACACGAGGAGUUCUUGGAAAGCUCUAAGAACCGGCCCACUGGCCCGAUUCUAGCAGGCGAGGCCACGCUAAUUCUGGUACCAGGGGGCUCCCCGAUGUUCGGAAUCGCCCGCCUCCUCCGUUGUCCAUGUGAUCAGACAGGACACAGGGGUGAGGAGGCUGUUUUCCCAACCCCAGACGGCGGGGGACAAAGAACUCAUCAGACCAGAUGAGGCGUCCGGGGCACUGGGAGGCUGUGGUCCAAGGCAAGAGAGAGUCUCCCUCCUGCUCAGGUGCCUGCCACGUGGACGGUGCUGCGGGGCAUCUCGGUGAGCCGGCGAGCACGUGCCAGGACUAUGGUGAGGACAGACCCCUUCCAUCUUGAACUGGCUUCUGCCGGAGCCAGCAGACCCUGAGCUCAGAGCCCCGUCCACGCUUCAUCGUAUUCAGUGGCCCAUGUGGACAGGACACGAUCAGCCCGACCACAUGGAGGCCACCUUCACGCCCGCACGAGAAAGCUCAGGAUCAGAACAGCCCACCAGAUCGCAGGGUCGGACUGGGGAUCGCAAGGACACGGGCAGGGCAGCCUGCCAGGCACCCAUGUCUGCAGGAAGCCAGGGAAGCCUGGC
RNAcentral lists this long non-coding RNA (722 nucleotides) under Mustela putorius furo (domestic ferret). RNAcentral describes it as "lncRNA (ENSMPUG00000029590.1)". Lineage: Eukaryota; Metazoa; Chordata; Mammalia; Carnivora; Mustelidae. The record is from RNAcentral.